RNAcentral lists this ribosomal RNA (460 nucleotides) under uncultured bacterium. RNAcentral describes it as "partial 16S ribosomal RNA". It matches the Rfam family "Bacterial small subunit ribosomal RNA", at positions 338 to 795 of the family's 1533-position model. The record is from RNAcentral.
CCUACGGGCGGCAGCAGUGAGGAAUAUUGGUCAAUGGGCGCGAGCCUGAACCAGCCAAGCAGUGUGAAGGAUGAAUGUCCCACGCGUUGUAAACUUCUUUUAUAAAGGAACAAAGUCAGGCUCGUGAGCCUUUCCGUAUGUACUUUAUGAAUAAGCAUCGGCUAACUCCGUGCCAGCAGCCGCGGUAAUACGGAGGAUCCGAGCGUUAUCCGGAUUUAUUGGGUUUAAAGGGUGCGUAGGCGGAGCUUAAGGUCAGCUGUGAAAUAUCGGGGCUCAACCGCGGGGCGGCGGUUGAUACCGGAGCGAUAGUAUUCCGAUACUGUCGGAGGAAGGUGUGGUGUAGCGGUGAAAUGAAUAGAGAUAACACAGAAGAGCGAGUGCGAAGGCAUAUGAGGAAUCGGAGAUUGACGCUGAUGUACGAAAGCGUGGGUAUCGAACAGGAUGAGAGACACGGGUAGGA